This 340-nucleotide ribosomal RNA is filed under the name uncultured Bacillota bacterium. Its description in RNAcentral is "bacterial SSU rRNA". It matches the Rfam family "Bacterial small subunit ribosomal RNA", at positions 28 to 351 of the family's 1533-position model. Lineage: Bacteria; Bacillati; Bacillota. The record is from RNAcentral.
GAUGAACGCUGGCGGCGUGCUUAACACAUGCAAGUCGAGCGAAGCAGUUUUAAGGAAGUUUUCGGAUGGAAUUAAACUGACUGAGCGGCGGACGGGUGAGUAACGCGUGGGUAACCUGCCUCAUACAGGGGGAUAACAGUUGGAAACGACUGCUAAUACCGCAUAAGCGCACAGUGCUGCAUAGCACAGUGUGAAAAACUCCGGUGGUAUGAGAUGGACCCGCGUCCUGAUUAGGUAGUUGGUGGGGUAACGGCCCACCAAGCCGACGAUCAGUAGCCGACCUGAGAGGGUGACCGGCCACAUUGGGACUGAGACACGGCCCAAACUCCUACGGUGGCAG